This 373-nucleotide ribosomal RNA is filed under the name uncultured organism. RNAcentral describes it as "partial 16S ribosomal RNA". It matches the Rfam family "Bacterial small subunit ribosomal RNA", at positions 527 to 896 of the family's 1533-position model. The record is from RNAcentral.
GUAGGUGGCAAGCGUUGUCCGGAAUUAUUGGGCGUAAAGCGCGCGCAGGUGGUUCUUUAAGUCUGAUGUGAAAGCCCCCGGGCUCAACCGGGGAGGGUCAUUGGAAACUGGGGAACUUGAGUGCAGGAGAGGAAAGUGGAAUUCCACGUGUAGCGGUGAAAUGCGUAGAUAUGUGGAGGAACACCAGUGGCGAAGGCGACUUUCUGGCCUGUAACUGACACUGAGGCGCGAAAGCGUGGGGAGCAAACAGGAUUAGAUACCCUGGUAGUCCACGCCGUAAACGAUGAGUGCUAAGUGUUGGGGGGUUUCCGCCCCUCAGUGCUGCAGCUAACGCAUUAAGCAUUCCGCCUGGGGAGUACGGUCGCAAAGACUG